This 117-nucleotide ribosomal RNA is filed under the name Danio rerio (zebrafish). Lineage: Eukaryota; Metazoa; Chordata; Actinopteri; Cypriniformes; Danionidae. The record is from RNAcentral.
CGCCACAGCCAUAUCAUCCUGCAGCCCAAGACCGGUUACUCGCUGAAGCUCAGCAGGGCUGAGCCUGGUCAGUACCUGGAUGGGAGACCACUAGGGAACACUAGGUUGCUGUUGGAG